AGAAAUCAAACAUAUCCUUGCUGAAUCAAGCACGAUAAUUUUAUCAAAUUAUUUUUGAUCAUAUUCAAUAAAUCAUAUCCAAACUGAUUAGAAAUGAAAGGUGAUAGGUGAUGGAUGGGGUAGCUGUAGAAUCUUUCGCUCUCUAAAAUGAAUCCUCGGUAAGUAGAGGCAUAAUAUAUAGAGAAAUUAUAUCAUCACUUUUUGAAGAAAAUAUAUGGUUAAUUACAUACAGGUUCCUACAAAUAUAGUGAAUUAUAAAUAUAUUCCUACAAAGUUCAAUUUUGAUAUAUUGUUUCUGUGAAAGUCCUGAUAUUUUCAAAUAUAUAUCUACCAUUAGAAUCUGUUAGAAAACUUUAGUUAACUAUAGGUUAAAUACUUAACUCCAGUAAUUUAAUGAGAUGAUUUGACUUUUUUAUUCCUCUUUAAUUAUGUUGGAAUUUUUAAAGAGGAACAUAUUUGUUAGGGCAAAAAUAUCAUUUCACUUACGAAAUAAAUGGUAUUUUAACGGUAACAAACCAGAAGAAUAUAUUUGAAAAUAUUAAGAAUUUUAUAAAAACAAUAUAUGAAAAUUGAACUUUAUAGAAAUAUAUUUGUCAUUUACUAUAUUUGUAAGGAUCUGCAUAAAAUUACUCUAUAUAUAUAAUAAUAGUAUCUUGAACUAGAAGAUUCUCCAAGUUGGCAAUGAGAGCUAGAGUGGUCCUACAAACUUUAUUACCUUUUAUUAUCUUCCAAUCAAAACCCAGGCAUUUGUAUGGACAUGACGAGUUGCAGUAGGGAUCCAAACAGGACAGACAGAUCUGCAGAUAGAAGGAUUCUCCAGCUUUUUCGGAUCGGAGCCGAAUUAAUUAUUUUAAUCUUUGACCCCUUAAUUUAAUCUUUAAGAAAACUUAAAAAUCCCCUGUUGUUUUGUUUCGCACUCUCUCAUUUUAGUACCCUGUAAUUUAAAAUAUAUCAAGUUAAUAUUCUGUGGUUUCGCACUUUCUCACUUUAAUAUCCUAUGAUUUAAAGUGUAUCAAGUUAGUAAUCUGUUGUUUUAUUUUUAUAUCAAGUUAGUAUCAUAUGGUUUUAGUUUUAUAUCAAGUUAUUACUCUGUGAAUAUUAAACCACAGGGUACUAAAGUGAGAAAGUGCGAAACCACAGUGUACUAACUUGAUAUAAUUUAAACCAUAUGGUACUAAAGUGAGAAAGUGCGAAACCACAUAGUACUAACUUGAUACACUUUAAACCACAUGGUACUAAAGUGAGAAAGAGUGAAACCACAAGGGGGUAUUUGAAGUUUUCUCUUAACCUUUUUAGGACAUAUUGUAGUUAGGUCUAAUUUUUUGCGGAUUGGAGUGGAUCAAAAAUGAAAGGGACCUCCCGUCUUUCGUUCUAUUUACUUGACGGAUCGAGAUAAAUUCGAGACGGAUUAUAUGUUUUUUUUUUUUUUUUUUUUUUUUUUUUUCAGUAUACAUUUACUGUUUUAUUUGGAAUGGAUCUCGGCAGGAACUCAACCCAUUCGGAUCCUAGCUGUAUGGAUGAUCAAUGUGCACAACCCAAAAAAGAAAAGAAAAUCUAGUUAUUACAUUGUUCUGAAAUAACCCUCUCAAUUAUAUAUUUUUUUCCCUGAUUAAGAUUAACUUUCAGUUUACCAAAAGCAAGUUAUUUAGCAAAAUUUAUUAAAUUAAUUGAUAAUUUUAUCAAAUUUAAUAGUCCAAGAUAGGAUCAAUUCUACUAAAAAAAAUUAAUUAAAAAUUCAACAAUUUUUUUAAUAAAUUAACUAUAAAAUUUUGAUUAAAAAAAAAUUAAAUGUUAAAUAAAUGUUAAUUAAACAAAUAAAUUUGAAUGGCUUAUUUUCAGAAUGGCCUAUAAUUGAGGGGAUCUCCAUACAUAUUUAGCCUCAUAUAUUUUUCCAAAUAUAUAAUUUGCUGUGCAUGUUGAACCUUCCCAGACUAUCGUUAUCUAUAGUAGUCCAAUUGUUUCUGCACGCAAUGUUUUUAAAAAUCGUAAGUUUGAACCCCUGUUACUCUCGGCUUAAAAAUAAUAAUAAUAAAAUGUUCCAAACCUUAGGUUUGGUAUGGUAGCUUUACCAAAGCCUCCUAUAUAUCUAACAUGUAUUCAAAUGUAGAUAGUAUAUGUUCAACCAUUUGAUAUAUGUAAAAGACAAUAUGGUAAAAUAAAAUCAAGUUAAAGUAAUGUCAAAAAUGUUGUUCUUCUACUUAAUUACAUAUGUAAGGUGUAAAUAUUUUGAUUAAAUGUUACUUUUUCUACUUAGAAUGCCUACUAUAAAGGACUUUAAACUUUUUACGUGAAAAUUAUUAAGAAUAGUAAUCCCAGAUCCACAAACGAAAGAACCGUUGACCUUAACGAGCGUUUCCAUUUCUAGUUAAGUUUAAAUUUUUUGUUUCGUGUUCGAACUCCUAUAACACAAAAAUCAUUGCAUAAAAUUGUUGAUAAAAUUUAAACUAUUACAGAUAAUGCAUAAUGCUCAAAAUUUUUACUGGCCAAAGAUCAUAAGUUUUAACAUUUGUUUUUUUUUUUUCCACAUAUAACAAAUAAAAAUCCUCAACAUAAGUAUAUACAUAAACAUUUUGAGUAUUGUAAAUGAUCAUAUUUAAUAGGUAAAAAAUUAUUUAAAAAUACCCACAACAUAGUUUCAUAUAGGUUGGUAGGUGACCAUGCAUGGUUCAUGCUUGCUCCAGCAUAUAUAAUUUUUCCAAUUUAUUUAAAUAUAAUUUUGAAACUCAAAAAAUUAAUUCAAAUCACUUACCCCACAACAUGAUAAUAUCAACCAUAUAUGCAUGUCUUUUCUCAAUUCUGAAGGGUUCCCAUUAAUUGCACGGCUCUGCAACGAGAAUAAUACUUAGGCUGCCUCCCUUGCUUUCUAUUUUUGCUACAAUUCAGCGAUAGUUACGUAAAAAUAAUUACCAGCAAAAAAUAUAUGUAUUUUGAAAAAGUCUAGGAUGUAACAGACACGUGGAGGACAUCGUAUUUCGAACCAGUCAAAUUGGUCAUCUUGAGUUCACCAUUUCACCAUAAUUUUUAGAACAAUAUUUUUAUUAUAAUUUUUUUUUUCUUUAGAAUAAGAGAUAUAUAUACGAUGGCUGAAUAUAGAUGACGUGGUUUGUUAUAUGGUAGACUUUUCUCUAAAUUUUAGCAAUCUUAUGAACAGAUGUUUAAAACCUCAUUUAGUAACGUGUUUUUUUUAUAUAUUUUAAAUAAUUUUUUGUAUUAAAUAGUACUGUAGGAUUGAACGGUAGAUUCUCUGUGUUUGAGCUAUAUAUUGUAAAUUGUAUGUAAAAGCUAAUUUUACUUUUUUAAAAAAUAUUUAUGUAAACUAUGAGUUAUUUGUAAAAACUAAAAUAAAAUUAUGGUCUCUGGAAUUUGAACUUAUUCUGACCUUUUAUUAGCUCUCAAAUGAGCCUAUAAAUUUAGUAGUAGGUUAAAUAAAAAUUUUAUUAUAAUUAGUGAACUUUCAUGUAAAAGUCAUAGUUUGUACAAUAGCUAUUCAAGCUCCAACCUGGAACAUGCAAAUUUGUAGGCAUCAUAUAAUUUGGUCCCAUUCACAACAUAAUGGAGAUCAAAGAAGCGUAAUGUCUAGAUUCAUUGUAUCUAUAUUUCACUGGCAAAUAAAAAUAUGUAUAUUUAUUAAUAUGUUGGCACAGGGAAUAUAAAAUUUUUAAUUAAUACAUGCACCAACAUUGUCUAAUGUAUCAUUAUAUACCUUGCAAAUAUAUCGGCAAUAUAUAAAAAAAACCCUUUUUACUAGACCCAAAAUAUUUUUUUUUUAACAUAAAUAAUGCCUGUAUUCAAUGUAUCACCACAUGAGUGAAAAAGUCUUUUAUGUUCCAAAUGAAUUUUAAUAUAUCAUAUGACAAAAUAAAGUGUCAACUUAUUAGAGAGCAAUAUAACAAAUUUAUAUAAAAUAAUAAUUAAAGAAUUAUUAUUUUAUUUUUACAAUACAGAGAUCUUUGAUUAAAUUUUUAUUUUUAUAUGAAAUAACUGCAAAAUAGAAAACUUUGAAUAAAACUUCAGUGGAGAGCAAUAAAACAAUGCCUCGUUGGCUAGUCUUAGUUUUACUUGAAUUUAAUAAUACGUUGAAACUCUACACGUUAUUGAAAAGCUUUUCACUAAAGUGUUUUUCUAAAAUCUUUCUCUCACAUGAGUAAGGUUGGCAUAUUUUACCGCCUAUUAGAAUUUCCCACGUAGAUGAGCUGUACCAAAAUUAUACUGCCAACAAUAUUGGAGAACUAGUUAAGAAAUCUGCGUGAUAUGGCAGGUAGACAUUAUUAUCAUUAAUUGUUACGACGUGUAGAUUAAUGUGGAUUUUAAUAUUAAAAUUUAUAUCAGAAUAAUAAUCUUAAUACAUUAUUAUUGAAGAACACAAAUCCACUUGCCAUGUACUACCAUUAAUUAUGUGCAUUAAUAUUUUUAAAAAUUAUUUAUUUCAGUAUUGAAUAAUUAAAAAUUAAAGAAUAAAAGUAAAGUAUAUUUUUUCUGAAACUAUCUAAACCAAAUAACUAAAAUGAAUAAACCAGUUUAAAUUUUUUUAAAAAAAAAACUCAUUGUAAAAUUAAAAAAGAUGAAUAAUAUUUUUCUAGUAUCAUCAGCGUAGAAUUUAUAAAGAAAAAAAUAUUAAAAAAUUAAUUAGAAUGAAAGUACUAUCUUUAAUAGCCCUUUGAGUAGCAUCUCCAUUAUCGUCGCCGGCUAUGAAUAGAAGCUCUCGCUAACUUUAACGCUACAGAUACAAUUAAUAAAGUACUUGAUUCCUAAAUUUCAUACCAGUGGAAUCAAUAGAUAAUUAUGAGAAGCACCAAAUAUAAGACUAAUCAAAAGGUAUUAGAAAAUAAAAAUAAAUAUUUCUUAUAUUGUAAAAAAGUUAAACUACCAAAAUAAAUAUCUUGAUAUUGUAUAUUAGGAAAAAAAUAAAUUUUCUAACUUAGGACUAAGAUCAAUAGCAUGUGAAUUAGCAAAAUAAAAGUUGAAUUCUCUCAUUUCAAAACAGUAAUUUGUUAAUUUUGAAAAAAAAAAAAAACCUAUUCAUAUUAUCAAUCAAGCAUCAUGAGUCAAUAGCCACAAUUUUAAAAGUCUUUAGUUAUAUUUGAAUAUCAUUUUUAUGAAUGAAUAUUUUAAUAUACAAAAUAAAAUUAUAUUGCUAAAGGGCUUGUCGUAAUUUUUAUUAAAAGUGGAAAGAAAUAUGCAUUAGAUGCAGAGCUCAUUAUCUUGUAUCUUCUCUUAUAUAUGGAGGUAAGUUUCUGAGAUAAUUUUUUUAAAAAAAUAAUAAAUCAACCUGGUAGUUCAAAGCUAGUUGAUCUAAUUUGUCUAAAUUUAAAUUACAUAUUUAAAUUUAAAAUUAAAAUUAAAAUUUUGAAUAUAAAUUCAUAUAUUAAAAGUAAAAUAAAAAAUUUAAGUUCGAAAUGAAAAUUUAGGUUCAAUUUAAAAUCCAAAAUUAAUUUUUUUUAAUUUCAAUUCAAAUUCAAACUUUAAAUUAAUAUCUCGUAGUUUAAAAUUUUCAAAAUUUUGAAUUUUAAAUUUUUUUGAUUAAAGUGAAAAAUAUGCAAAGUUUAGGAAUAAAACUAAGUUGGCGUUGCUACGACAAUUUCAUUAAUUUUAACACGUUUUACACGACCGGAACAUAAUUACAAUGAAAUAAAGAUAUUGAAAAUUUAACUACGAACUAAAAAAAAAAUAUUGACGGCUAAAAUAAAAAAUAGUGAAAAGUUGGAACCAAUGAUACAAUCAAUCAUGUGGGUCUCACAACACUAAAAUAAGGAAAGGAUUCCUUAACUACCACCAGACCAUGUAUUUUAUUAUAGAAUAGAUAGAUAAAUUAUAGAUAGUAUUCUUCUUCUCCUUCUAUCCCUCCUAACUACCACCAGACCAGAUACCCCUCCAUACAGAAUCUCCAAAUUGGUGGAAGAGAGAGAGAGAGAGAAGAAGAAGAAGAAGAAGAAUAGAAACAAAACUUCGAGCAGGCCGUGGCAGAGGAGGAGGAGGAGGAGGAGGAGGAGAAGCUCUCCCAACUUGGCGCUCGUCCCCUCCAUUAAUGGCGCCAUCUCCUCGAGACGAAGACGACGACCAAACGCACCACCAAAUCACCACCCCGCUCCGUAUGCCCCCUAUAUAUAUAUAUAUAUAUAUAUAUUGAAACAAUCGUUUAUUUCCAAAAGCUUAAGAGCAAAUAAACAUCCAAUGAAUUUCGAACUCAGAAUCUCCCAUUUGAAUAGCAUGUAAAACAAUCAUUUUUGUCGAAGGUAAUUAGUGCUUUUGUUUUGGACUUUGAAAUAUAUGAAAGAAGAUUGUGGCUUUUUGCAGUUGUUAAUUACGGACUUGGUACCAUUCAAACUCAAAAUUUUCUUCAAUGAUAUCAUUGUACGAAAUAAUCAUCCUCUUCUUCUUUGUCGUCUUUGGACAAGGAGAGGCUCGCUUUCUCCUCCUACCAAUUCCUUAUAUGAAAUAAUUAUUUUUCCCCAACAAUUUAAACGACAUGAAAUUAUCGCUAAGAAUCUUAAAAAUCUAGGACUAUAUGAAACGGUCGUCUGUACGUAUGAAAAUUUAAGUUUCAGCUGUCAGAGAAUGAUGUUUUGAUAUCUCGAAUUUUUCAUGCAGUCCAUUCCGAUCCCGCCGCUCCCUCUUCCUCCUUCUCGACUCCUCCAUGGCCGCCUGCUGAUGGUGCGGAGGAGGAGAAGGAGAAGGAGAAGGAGGAAGAAGAGAACUCUCCGAUCGAGCAGGUGGCGCUGACGGUGCCGAUGUGGGUGCUGGGGACGGCGUCGUGCGCGGUGCUGUCGUUCCUGAACCAGUUCUUCUGGUACCGCAAGGAGCCGCUGUCGAUCACGUCGGUGUCGGCGCAGAUCGCGGUGGUGCCACUGGGCCACCUGAUGGCGUCGGCGCUCCCCCGGCGCGCCUUCUUCCGGGGCACGCCCUGGGAGUUCUGCCUCAACCCGGGGCCCUUCAACGUCAAGGAGCACGUCCUCAUCACCAUCUUCGCCAACUCCGGCGCCGGCACCGUCUACGCCAUCCACGUCAUCACCGCCGUCAGGGUCUUCUACCGCCAGCACAUCUCCUUCUUCGUCUCCCUCCUCGUCGUCCUCACCACCCAGGUCGGUUCCUUUGCUUCUUUUCCGGUUUUCUAUCUAUAGGUAAUGCUAGCUGUACAUCUAAAAAUUAAGUAUAAAUUUUACAUUUUUAAAAGUUUUUUUAAAUUUUAAAAUUAAUGGGCGUAAAAUUCACGCCUAACUCAUAUAAGAAUGUGUAAGUAGCAUUACGCUCCCAACAUUUACUCUCGCUAUUUAUUAUUGAUUUCCUCGAAGCUGUUUUAUUUCUGACAUUAUUAGUGCUUCACUUCUGUUUUUUAUAGUAUAAUCAUAUGAUAAUAUAUAUAUAUAUAUAUAUAUAUAGAGUUGAGCUAGAAUACUAUCAGUAGUAAACGAGCCGUUUUAUUAUCUAUUUGUUUUCGAUGAUAGAGCUUCCAAAUUGACAAUCGGCUCCGUUAAAUAUGAUCUAAACCAUUUAAUAUAUCUAGAAAUCAAAUUUCACGCACUUUCGAUAUUAUUCUUUUAUCAAUCAAGUGAACAGAAAAAUGAAUGACUGAAAAUAAAUAUUCUUUAAACAAUGAUGAUAGGAGUCUUAUAAUCAAGAUCAAGAGUAUAGAUCUUGUUUUAAAUAGUUUAAAGAAUUUUCUAACAAAAAUUCAAUUGAUUUGGAUAUCUUUACGCCGUUAAACGAGAAAACACCUCUUAUCAACCAUUAAAAUUACAAAUUUUGAAACUCUUUGAUUAUUAGGCAAAUGAUGUCAAAAAGAUUUGAAAUUUGAUUUCUAAACACUUCAAGUGGUAUAGAUCAUGUUCAACGGAGCCGAUCGUCAAUUUGGAAGCUCUAUCGUCGAAAACAAAUAGAUAGUAAAACGGCUCAUUUACUACUGAUAGUAGUAUUCUAGCAAAACUAUAUAUAUAUAUAUAUAUAUAUGCAUUGUUGAUUUAUAAUUUUUUUCUAUAUAAAAAUUUGAUCUGAAAAAUAAGAAUAUAGUAUGGAUAAAGAAAUAAUGAAUUCACAGUAUACAAACGAGCUUAUUAUAAGCUAGUUAUUAUAAAGAUGAAUUAUUAAUCUAAGAGAAGGACUAUUAUGAAAUACGGUUGGAAGUUUAGUGACCAAACUGAAAUUUUAUUAAGAUAAAUAUAUAAUAGGGUAUCUAAUGUUGAAGUCACUAGUUUGAGGACAAAAUGAAAAUUGACUCAAAGUUGAGGGACCAAUACUGAAAUUUGCGCAAUUGUGCAAUGAUUUGUGCUAGGCUCACCAACCAAAACAAGCUUAAAUCCUAAUUAAAAUACUGCUGCUAACCGUAUCUAGUACAAUGGUUAAAAAUUUGAUGAUUAGUAUCUGAAUUUCUAAAUUAGAAAUCUAAAUAAUUCAUAUUUUCAACUAAGUUUAUUUUUAGAAAUAAAUAAGAUAACUUGAUACUUUUUUUCAAAAUAUUUUACUAUAAUUUCGAAAAAGAUAAAAUAGUAUAAUUAUUUUAAUCAAAAAAAAUAAAAUAGUAUAAUUUGAAUUAAACAGUUGCAAAGGGGAUGAUGAUUUCAAAACCUUGCGUUCUAUAUUCGACGGUACCACUCACAAGCACAAGAUGAGUAUUUAAAUGUAAAGCUCAUUAAAAGUAAGGGGGUAGGGGUGGCAAUCCAGCUCGCCAUUCGUGAGCCAACUCGUGUUCGGUAUGAAAUGAAUUCGAGAUCGAAUCACUCGUUUAGUAAACGAGCCGAACACGAGCUGGGAUCAGCUCGCUCAUGUUCGGCUCAAUAACAGCUCGAAUACAUAUAUUUUAUAUUUAUAUAAUUUAUAUAUUUUAUAUUUAUAUAAUAUAAUAAAUAAUUAUAUAUAAUAUAUAUAUUUUUAUUAUUUAAUUUUUAGCAGAAUAAAAAUAUAAAAACGAGUUCAAUUAUAAAAAUACUCAUUUAUAUAUAACGUUUCAACUAUUAGAUCAAAGUCUAAUGGAUAAAAUUUUAUAAAUUUAUUUUUUAUAUAUAUUCAAUCUAAUCCUUUUAACUUAAUGUUCGUUGGUCAGCUCGUGAGCCAGCUCGAUCUUGUUCGACUCGUUUAUUUACGAGCCGGUGCCAGCUUGCUCGAACAAGGCUUGUUAACACCUAUAGGGGUGUAGAGAACAAAAGGAAGGGUUUAAUGAGAUUUGAACACUAAUAAUACAUAAAAUAACUAAUUAUUUCAUAGUAUUGUUUAGUUCAAAAAUAAGCUGUUCUUACUUACUUUUAAUACGGGCACAACUUCUAGGAUAAGUAAAAAUAUGCCCAACUGUGUGUUUGAAUAAAAAUUAAAUUAUUUUUAGGAAUAAGAAAUAUUAACGUUUUGACUAAUAUAUUGACUAAAUAAUUAAUUAGCUAAUUUAUAUUGAUCAGCCAAUUAAUAUUUUGACUAAUAUAAUUAAUUUCUUAACGAAUUAUCAAACUAAUUAAAUAAUCUACUAACCAAUUAAAAUUUUAACUUAUUUUUAUAAUUAAUUAAUUAAUUAAUUAAUGCCUUUUUUAUUAUUUUACGCAAUAUUCUUAGCUAAAAAAUUUAAUAAUUUAUUAUUUACUUUAUAUUUCAAUGUCAAUUAAUUGGACAAAAUAAUUUUAUUUUAAAUUACAAUUAUUCUUAUUCCCGUUAUUCUAAUAUAAUCAUCCAAACACUAUUAUUUUUUAUACCUAGAGACAAUCAAGUUUUCAUAUAAACGUAAAAUUUGUUUUACUCCUACUUAUUUUUUAAGUUAUAACUAUUUCAAGAAUAAACAAAUUCUGUUUAUUUCUGAACCAAACGAUUAUUAGAGAAUAGUAUUUUUAGUGUUCUAUAUACCGUAAAUAUGUCAAACCACGGGAGGCUUUUCGAUAUAAUAUAUAUUUUUUUUGUGCGCCUAAAUUGUUCAGGUUUUAGGGUUUGGGUGGGCGGGGAUUUUCCGGCGGUAUCUGGUCGAGCCGGCGGCGAUGUGGUGGCCGUACAAUCUGGUCCAGGUAUCCCUGUUCAGGUACCAAUUCUUUUUUUUGAUGCUAAUUUAUUUUCUUUCCGCAAUUAUUUUUGGCAAUAAUUAUGAAUUCUAAUUUUGGGAUCUCUUAGUUUGACGAAAUAAAUAGCUGUUACUCUAAAAAAAAGCUACUAAAAGUGAUGAUUUUAUUUUACAUACCCAAUGUGGAUAUUGCAGAGAUCGUGUAUAUUUUACCUUCUAUUUUCAUCAAUUUUUAGAGAUUUUCAUCAACAUAUAUGCGUAUACGCAUACUAUUAAUUAAAGAAAGAUGGGCAGAAAAACUUUAUCGCUUAUGUAAACAGGCAACUGAUCUUUCAAUUUUAGCAACUAAAUCUUCUAAGUUUUAUAAAAUAGUUCAAUAAACCCAUCUUUUUAAUUAAAACUACUAAUUAUAUAACCGUUUUGACCACAUGCCUUUAAUUUUUUUAUUCUAACCUAUUUUUCUACUAUUGUACUUAAUUCAGAAAUGGGAGAAAAAAAUAAUAUUUAUUUAGUUUAUAUGUAUAAUAUCCAAUCAAAAUGGUUGUAUAAUUUAUAAGUUUGUUUGAGGAGAAUAACCCAUUAAAUUAUUUGAUAAAGUUUUGAAGAUUUAAUAAUAAAACUAAAAGUCCGGAUGAGACUCCAGAUAGUUCUAUACAUAAAAUAUAAUAGGACUAAAACUCUUAAUUCGGUUUAAGUAUUUUGGAUGGUGGUUAGGCUCAAGAGAUUAAGAGAGUUAAGCGUACUAGGACGAGAGUAAUUUUAGGAUGGGUGACCCUCUGGAAAGUUGAGGCAUCACAGCAGAUUUAGAGAAGAGCUAAGAUUCAGGGGUACGUAUAACGUUAUAUAAAUAAACAGUAAUUAAAAUUAAAAAGUAUAUAAAAACAAAAAUGUCUCUGUACAAUGUGUUAGAACAAAUGUCGCAACGAAAUCUGAUUGUGAUUUAAAUCUAACUAAAUAUUAUUAUGAAAAUAAAUAAAUACAAACUUACAGAUAAAUGCAAAUCCAAAUAAAUAUUUAAUUGAUCCGGAAGCGUGCGAGGCACUGCCCUAAGGCGUAUUCCCGUCCUUACGUGCGGGAUUAACCGGGAACAACACCCCAAGGUACGACCGGAAUUUCUCCUCCUGCGAGCACGAUCGUGAAGGAGGUUGACGAAGACUCUUUCAACACCCAGCGAUUAACAGAAGAAAAUUAACUUAUGAAAAGGAAACUCAAAGUAAAAAAUUCUAUUCACUAUUCUUCAUGCAUAAAAUAAUAUAUCACUCUCUACUGACCACAGUAGAUGUAUAUAUAAAUAUAUGCAUGAAGGUUGUAGAGUUGAACGUUGGGAAUCCCAACGUUCACUUCCGCUUAAUUAGUUUCAAGCAAAACGUCCGCCGAUAAUUAGUCCCGCACAUGACGCGGACGGGCACGGAGCCGGACGUGCGCAACGUCCGCGCACAUUCCGGACUAAAUAAAAACACAAUAAAUAUAAUUAUAAAAAAAAAUAUAGAAAAAAUAAAAUUAAAAGAAGUAAUUAAUAAUUAAAAUAAGAUAUAGGAUUACGAAUUUUAUAUGGGAUUUUGAAUUUUCAUCAACACAAUGUUCAUUACAGUUCUAUGAGCUGGUGAUGUUGAUCCUAACUUGAUAUCAUUUGUGGGACCGCAGAGUCCUCAUUAAAAAUAGCAAAAGAAGUUAGUUUUUACUGCUUUUAUAAAUUAUUAAUUAAUAUAUUUAUAUACAAAAUAAGUUAAAUUAUUAUUCUAGUGUGAAAUAUUAUUAAAUUCAUCAAUACAUCAGUAAAUAAUUCUUUUAGCUUAAUUAUAAAUUAAAUCACUGUGAAAACUUUAUCUCGACCGCGUCUCAAAUAUCUCAAAUAAUAAAAAAAAAUUGAAUUUGAAUUUAUAUUUAAAGCUAAAUUUAAAAUUAAAUUCAAAAGCGAUAUUUAAAGUUUGAAACUUACCAAAAUUAAAUUUAGUCAUAAUUAUAAAAAAAAAAACCCGCAUUUUAUCCUAUAUCUGAAAUACCCUUUUUAAUCCAGCAUAGCUGUUGACGUGGUUGUCCACGUGGCGCCAUAUCAGCCUAACUACUAUUCCUUCAUACUUUGCUCUUCUUAAAAUUUUAAAAAUAUUUUCAAAAAAAUAUUACGUUAAUGGAGAAGGCAAAAUGACUAAACUAUGCUUAUUUCUUCUAUAAGAAAAAAUUAUUUUUAAUAUAUUUCUGUUAUUUUGCAGAAUAUUUUCGAUAUAAAUUAUAAGAAAUUGACGGAAUAAUGAUAAAACCGUGAUAGAGGGAGAGCGAAAUUCAACAACUUGAAAUGUUGAGGAAAUAAAAUAUAAAUUUUUAAAAAAUAGGAAGGAAAAAAAAAAAAAAAGUAGAUACUUAUAAUAAGGAGGUUUCUAUAAUUUAGCCAUAAUAUUUUUUAAUAUGAUAUGUAUGGAUGUGAUUAAUUAGUUACUAAUUCUGUAUAUAGUAUAAAGCUAGCUUACAUGCUAUUGCUGCUUAAUUAAUUAAACCAAACUUUUUCCCUUCGCAAACCAAUAUUUUCCCACUAUGUAAUAAAUACAUUUGAUAAGUGUUAAUAGUAGUUUCAAUUGCUAUAAAUGUAGUCACAAUUUUAGGAACACCAUUAUUAUCUAAUUAAAAUUUUCAUUGUAGCCAGAUCACAGUAAUGGAACAUGAUCACCCCUGCUAUAAAAUUAUAUAUUAAUUAUUUUUGUUAACAACAAUGUAAUGAAUUAGAUCAGAAAUUGUAUUGAAGCAUAGUGAAAUUAGAUAUAGAAAGCGAUAUAUAGCUACUACGAUAAUUAGAAAAAAAAAAUAAUUAAGGCCCUGUUUGGAUGUUGAAAUCAAUCAAUCUUAAUUAACUUAUUUUAAAAAAAUUGCAUUUGAAGCAUCACCCAAUAAGUUACAAAUAGCUACUAGUGAAUUUAGCUAGAUAUGGAAAGCGAUAUAUAGCUACUACAAUAAUCAGAUACUACGAUAAUCAGAACCUGUUUGGAUGUUGGAAUCAGUUAUUUUUAAAUAACUUAUUCAGCAUAAAAUUUUUCUUGUAUGAUUGAAAAUAAAAAAAAAAAAGUAAUUUUUACUCCUUAAAAGAUCUUGUCAUUCAUAAUUUGGUAGAAUAAUAUAUUUUACCUAUAAGAGGACUUAUCUUAUUGUAAAAAAUUGACUAGGAAGUAAAAUAUAUAUAUAUAUAUAUAUAUAUAUAUAUAUAUAUAUAUAUAUANUGUAAUAUUGAAGCGUCACUCAAUAAUACAUAGCUACUAUAAUAAUCAUGGAAAAAUUAAGUAUCUAGCUUGAAAUUUUACGUAACCUCUUAAUUGCAUAGAAUUAUUUGAAGUUUCAUUUUCUUGUACAGUACCUUUUACAUAAUCUCACAACACACAAUUGGAGAAUAAUAUAUAUAAUAAUAGGUUGAUUGAGAGGGAGGUUUAGGUCCUUUUUUUUUUUGGCACUUUCUUAGUUUCUCAUUAUUAGUUUGAACUACUAAUUAAUUUCUUGUUAAUCCUGCAAAUGCAUUACAUGUGCCCUAUAAUUUGACCUUAUCAUUUGAAAGAGUAAUGCUUUAGAUAUUCCUUAUGCGUCAUUUCAGUGAUAGUGCCAAUAUGAAUUAUGCGAAAUAUACCAACAUAUGAAAGACUUUUUAUAGAUCAUUAAAACUCACCUAUUUCAAAAAAAUGAUACUAUCUAUAAUCUGAAAAGUCUGGUGCUCGAACCUUCUGCUAUGAGAGAUAUAUUGCUGAGAGUGCGAACUGUGAACUAUAAAUAAAAACUUUUCGAAUAAAAACAAGGCAUUCUGAACAGCAAAGAGUAAUUUAGGUAGGAAAACUUUUUAAGUCCCGCACAUUUGUCAUUAUAAGGAUUUUAAUUAUUAAAAAUUUGACCACCAAUUGCACAUCACUAUGAAGGAAUCUCCUAGCUAGCAUGCCCGUUCAAAUUAACAUGGAAGUUAUUAUGUAAGCUAAAUAGAAGUCAACUCACCUUAAUUGCACUACCCAACUCCUCAAAUUUUAAAGGGGACUCUGGGUUUAGUUGCAUGUGCAUUCUCCGGGUUCAUUAAUUAAAAAAACAUGGUGGGGAGAGGUCGUGCUCUAUAUAAGUUAAUAGCACCUUCAUUGCUGCAGUAGUACUACCUCAAGGGGUGGCUUAGAAAAGUUCCAUAGGGUGGCGUUUGGUUCGGGGUUAAAGGGGAUAAGCACGUCCCCCCACCCGCUCCGCGAACAUAAAUUUUGGGGGUGGGGUUAACUAAUCCCAUCCCAAUAACCAUUUGGGGUGGGGUUAACUAAACCUUGAAUAGGAAUGAAAUUAGUUAAUUCCAUCCCUAUUUAAUUUUAAAAUAAAAAUUUUAAAUUUUAAAUUUUAAAUUUUAAAAUAAGAUAUUGUAGUAUAAAUUUUAAAAUUAAUAUUUAUUUUUUAAAUUUUAAAAUUUAAAAUUAUUAUUUUUAAUUAUUUAAAUUUUAAAUUUGAUAUUUUAUAUUUGUAACUUAAAUUUUUUAAUUUGAGAUUUAAAAAUAUAGAUUUUAAUUUUGAAUUUUAAAAUUUAAAAUUUAAAUUGUUAUUUUUAAUUAUUUAAAUUUUAAAUUUAAAUUCAACUAUAAUAAUUAGGGCAAUAUCAUUUUUUUUUAUUUAUAAUAACUCACUAUUCUUCUUAUUCCAUCUUAUCUAUCGAAACGCCAUUUUUUUUAAUCCCGGUAGCAACUCAAUUAUCAUCCAAACGUAAAAUUAGUCUAUUGAAUAAAACUUUAGUAUAAAGCUCUCAAAUAAUAUCUUAUUAGAGUGUUCUCGAUCUACUGUCACUUAUUAAUUUUAUAUUUAUCUAAUAAUUUAUUAGAUGUUCUUAAUAAGAUUAAAAAAAUUUGAAACACUGGAAAAGGAUUAUAAUUUUUAGCACUGCAUUGUUGCAGAGCUCUACAUAAGUUUUUUUUUUUUUUUUCUCAUUUACAUGAUAAUCUUACAUUGAGACUACACACUAUUUUGGUAUCAUCUUUCACAUAGAACAAUUGGUAGAUAUCCUUUUCUUUCAGAUUUGAUUCUGCAUUAAAGUGGGAUUUGUGCAUGUGCUUUGCAUAUUAUGUUAUCUCAUUAAAACAAAAAAAAUUCAAUCCGUCAAACCGCUAGAAAUCAUACCAAGCAUCCUUUACAAAUGAAUAAUGUAUGAAAUAAGACUGACAAUUAAUAACAUUAGUGAUAAAGAGUUUGAUGGUUGGUAUUCAAUGUCUCAAAUUCGAAAUAGAGUUAUUUUAUUUUCAGCUAAUGUUUGUAUGUUAAAAAAAAUAAAGAAAGUGAACAGUAUAUUAUCUUUCUUUUAAAAAUAAUGUGACUUUUAAAGAGUUGAGCUAGAAUACUCUCAAAAGUAUCAAGGGGUUGGUGCUUUUGAGUUUUUAGCCAUUAGAUGAAAAGAUGUAGGGUUGAGAUAAUGGUGGUAGGUGGUGGUCGGUGGAAUAGUGUUUGAUCCAAAAGUUAUUAGUAAUCAAGGAGUAGAUCCAAGGGUUAGAAACUCAAAAGCACCAAAGGAUUGUUUCUUUUGAGAGUAUUCUAGCUCAAUUCACUUUUAAAUAUUCACCGCUCCCAGGAUAGUAAUAAAAAAAAGGCAUAAAGAUCCCCUCAAAUUAUAGGACUUCCAGAAAUAGACCUUACUAUUUUCCUCUUGAUUAAAUCCUUCUUAAACUUUUAAUUUUUCAUUUCGGUUUCUAUACUUAGCUAACUUAAAGAUUUUAUUAAAUUUAAUAAGAGCAAUACUAUCCAUACACUCUAAGAAAUGCAUAUCAUAUACCACAUCAAUCUAAUAGGUGAGAUUCAUUAUUUGUCAAAUAAUGUGAUUAGUGAAAUAAUCUCAUUCAUUAGAUGGCUGGGUGUAGGGAGGGGUCUAAAGACGGCCUGCGGCCCGCCUAGCCCGGCACUAGGGUAGGCCGGGUCGAGGCACGGCAUGAGUACUAUAGCACUUGUGCCAGGCCGGCCCGGCCAGAUGAACCGGAUCGUGUUCGGCCUCGCCCUCGUGGCCCGGUGGCCCGGCAUGAAACUGGCCUGUGCCUUGCCAGGCCUGAGGGAAGGCCCGGCCCGGCACUACACAGCCCGUGUCUACCGAGCCGACAAGGCCCGGCCACUCGGAGUUGGGUCGUACCCAACUCCCAAGACCUCCCAACAUCGAAUGCUUUGGGAGUUGGGAUGUGCAGCCUUGUGGCUCUCCCAGGGAGGAAUUCUACACGGUCACACUUACACCACAUCAUUAAUAACAAACUAAUCACAUUUCUUCUUUUCAAACAGAUGUACAAUAAAAAAUAUUUUUUUAUAAUAAUGAUGGGACAUAUAUCUAUAUCUAUAUCUAUAUCUAUAUCUAUCUAUACUAUAUAUAAAAGCGUAUAGGAAUUCCGACAAUAACAGACGGAAUCCAAAAAGGAACAAAAGAAUAUUACCUGCGAAUGGUUAUGAUUAAUUUGUUAAAAAUAUCUCAAAUAAAAACAAAUGGUUAUGAUUAAUCUAUUAAAUAUAAAAUAAUAUUUACUACGAUUGGUUAUGAUUAAUUUAUUAAAAUAUCUCAAAUCAAAAUGAACGGUUAUAAUCAAUCUAUUAAAUCUCUACUAUAUAUAAAAGUCUAUUAUCUACAAAUACUUAUGAUCAAUUUGUUAAAAAAAAAUCUCAUGCGAAUGGUUAUAAUUAAUUUGUUAAAAAUAUCUCAAAUAAAAAUAAACGGUUAUGAUUAAUCUAUUAAAUAUAAAAUAAUAUUUACUACGAAUGGUUAUGAAUAUUGUAAAUAUUUUCUAAUAUUUAAAAAAAAAUAUUUGAUUAGUUUGUUACGCCACAUCACCAAAAUACCCGUUUGCAUUCUAGAAUUUUUCCUCACAGGGGCGGGCCUGCUUGGGAGAUGGGCAUUUUGAUCCCUUUUGGACCAAAUACCCUCCGUAAAAGUCAAAGAUUUGACUGUUUGGAUAUUUUGGUCCAAAAAAUAUUAAAAUUUUUUACAUAAUUUUAAAAUUUUAAUAUUUUUAUAAAUGUAUUUUAAAAUUUGAAAAUUUCUCCACUCAUAUAUUGUUUUUUUAAAAAUAAUAUUUUAUUUUUAUUUUCUUAAAAUUUUAAUUUUUAAAAAUAAAAUUAAUAAAUAAAAAAGGGCCGGCUUGAAGCCCAACCGGGCCUGGCACGUGCAAUCCAGACCCGGGGGUGUGCUUCACUAGGGGUCCAAGAACUUUGGCCCGGCAUGACACAGCCUGACUUUGGGAAUGGGCCGUGCCGGGGUGGCCUCCGGCACGUUUCCCACCCGGCUAAAUGUAGGCCAUGCCGACCCUACACGGUCCACAUUACACCUCUAGGUGUAGAGGUGGCAAUACAGCUCACAUAUCACGAGCGAGCUCGUGUUCGGUCGAGAUGAACUCGAGAUCGAAUUGUUCAUUUAGUACAUAAGCCGAACACGAGCCGGAGUCAGCUCACUUAUAUUCGGCUCAAUAAAAAUAUAUAUAUAGAGAGAGAGAGAGAGAGAGAGAGAGAGAAUGAAGCAAACGCCAGUGAGUCUUUGUGAAACAUAAUUAUAGCUAUAUGCGACUAUUUACAACUCUAAUGCCCUAAAAACUUCCACCACACGAUAUAAUCAUUGAGGGGUUCAAGAAAAAUAUCAGAAGAAAAGUGGAAAUGCCAUUCAAGCAUGGAGUGAAAGAACUAACACUUUGUUCUAAACAAUUCAACAAUGGUUUUGAACCUCGAAAAUAAAAGGUAUAUUUGGUAAGACACUGCUGUAAUACAUUUAGCACUGAGAAUCUAAUUUAACCUUGGCCGAAUGAUUUAUACUUCUAUAACAAUCAAAAUUUGGUAAAUACUCACACGAAUCGCAGCAACAAUAGCUAACUCAUCAGCUUUGCAUCAUUGUCCACAGGGCACUCCAUGAGAAAGAAGAGCGGCCAAAAGGCAGCCUGACUCGCAACCAGUUCUUCAUGGUGGCCUUCAUCUGCAGCUUCGCCUACUACGUGUUCCCUGGCUACUUAUUCCAGAUGCUCACCUCCCUCUCUUGGAUCUGUUGGAUCUUUCCCCAGUCCGUCCUAGCCCAACAACUUGGCUCGGGGCUACGCGGGCUCGGGAUUGGCGCGAUCGGACUCGACUGGUCCACCAUCUCCUCCUACCUAGGCAGCCCACUCGCCAGCCCAUGGUUUGCCACUGCUAAUAUAGCAGUCGGGUUCGUAUUCAUAAUGUACGUCAUUACCCCCAUUGCAUACUGGCUCAACGUUUACAAAGCGAAGACUUUUCCCAUCUUCUCCGACGGUCUUUUUACUUCCGCCGGACAGAAGUACAAUAUCUCAAGCAUUAUAGACUCCGAUUUCCACCUGGAUGUAAAGGCUUACGAGAAGAACGGACCUCUCUAUUUGAGCACCUUCUUUGCGAUGACUUAUGGUGUCGGGUUCGCCUCGCUAACGGCAACUAUUAGCCAUGUCCUCCUCUUCCACGGAAGGUAAUUGUUGGUAGACGUUGGUGCUUAUUUUCAUCUUGUUUUCGAAUGGGUUGACUUGCGUCCACCUACCUGCAAAGUUUUUUUUAUUUCUGUUUACAUCUUUGUGAUAGCAGCCUGUAGAGAAGCUCAAAUAUAACAGAAUAUAAUAAUAGUUGGAAACAUGCGGUAGCAUUAGAACAGACUGUUAUAAGAGUCAAUUUAUUGCAACGGAAAUCUAGCAGUGAAGCAAUCAACAUUUCAGUCACUAUUUGCUUCUCUGGCAAUUUGUAAAGCAACAAAAACAUAAAUGACUAGUGAUAAUAAAAAUUGAUUUCUCAAUUAGAACAACAAAUGUAAGGGACAUUAAAUGUAUAGCUAAUGUGGACUGUGCAGAGAAAUAUGGCAACUGAGCAAGUCGGCAUUUCAAGAAAAGAAGAUGGAUGUGCAUACAAGGCUCAUGAGCAGAUAUAAGCAGGUUCCAGAGUGGUGGUUCAUAUGUAUCCUUAUAGUCAACAUAGCAGUCACCAUCUUCGCGUGCGAGUACUAUGUCGACCAACUACAGUUGCCAUGGUGGGGCGUAUUGCUUGCCUGUGCACUAGCCAUUUUCUUUACUCUCCCCAUUGGAAUCAUCACAGCAACCACCAACCAGGUACUGUCAUACUGAUCUAGUUAUAAUAGUACAUACAAUCCAGAAAAUCCAGGUUUAUAUGCAGCCAACCGACAAAGCACCUGUUUUGGAUGCUAAAACCCUCAUAUCUCUAGUUUUCUUAGGGCCUGUUCAGAUGUCGGAACUAGUUAUCUAGUGAUAAUUCAUGCGCAACAAGGAUUUUCUUUUGUGAUUGCAACCUAAAGAGUUUUUUUUAGUCCCUUGUAAGGUCCGGACAGUUAUGACUUCGUAGAAUAGGGCAUUCCACCUACAAAGCGGCCUAUCUUAAUCCAAGAAAAUGACUUAGAGAAAAAAAAAAAAGAAAAAAAAGAAAAAAAAACCAAAUAUAAUGUACCAUUGCAGCCAUGUAAUAUACUCAUCUACUGAUCAUUCGAGGUCCCUUGAGUAAGCAAAAAAGAUAUGACAAACAAGAUGCUCAAAGCAUGACAACUUGUUCAGCAUAUUUCUUGUGUGAACUAAACAGGCAUGCGGCGAUUUGUAGAUGGGGAGUAUGAAACGAUGUCCAAAACCGCAUAAUAUAUGAGCUGUAAGUCAUUUUCAUAGGAAUAUGAUAAAUCAAUUUCAUGGAAUUCACCAUCCUGAAAAGUCAUGAUCAUGAGAAUCUUGCGACAGGCUAAAAUAUUCUUAGAUUACAAUCACAAAGGAAAUUCCUCCGAUAUCACAACAGUUAUCUCUAGAUAACAUGAUAUGACAUCAAGAUAGGCCCAUAAUAACUAAUUUUCAAUUGGUCUUUCAAAAGUAUGAAAAGAUGGCUAUAAGGCAACAAGGAAUAAACAACUUCCCUGUUAACAUAUAUGACGAAUCACCGCAAUGGUGAAAUGCAGUAGAAUUAAAAAAAAAAAAAAAAAAUCUGAUCAUUGCAAUCUUACAGUAGACUAAAAUCAAACCUUAUAUUAUAAUAACCAAAAAAAACUAUCGAACACCAGUUAUCACCAUAUAAGUGUGUGACAUCCAAACCGGCUCUUAAUCUCUUUCAUUCAAUUAUUCACUCAUGAUAGUCAACAAAGAUCAACCGUAUAAUAGCCGUUUGAAUCUCUUUCAUUGAAUGAAACAGACUCCUGGCUUAAACAUCAUCACGGAAUACAUUAUGGGUUAUCUGUACCCAGGACGCCCUGUUGCAAACAUGUGCUUCAAAGUAUAUGGGUACAUUAGCAUGCAACAGGCAUUGACAUUUUUGCAAGACUUCAAGCUGGGGCACUACAUGAAGAUCCCACCAAGAACUAUGUUCAUGGCUCAGGUCAGUUCCCUUACUCGUCAGUAGCUAAUGUUUCCUCGAGAUAGUUUCAACUUAUAAAGAACUAAUUAUCUAUGCUAGAACAUGUUAUCAUUUGUUAGUCCAUAUUCUUCACCUUUUGACGUCUAAAGUAAACAUAUGACUAAGCACCAAACUUAUUUAAAGAUGCGGAGCCAGUGACCUAUGAUCAUAACCUGCGACUAUAUUCUUCACUGUAACCUGUGACCUAAUCCUAUUAACAAAUUGAAAUUUUGCCCUGUAUUAAAUAUUAAUCAAGAUAACUAGAAGCAGUUAUGCAUCAGAAUAUUCAAUCAACAAGGGUAAUUACUCCCGGAAUAUUCUGGUAUCCCAUGUAACAAGCACACAGAAGUGUAGAGAUAAUGAUGAGGCUUUGCAGCCAUGCCUACCUUCUUCUCAUACAGAAACUGAAUUCAUGUACUUGCCUAUCACUCUUAAAUUAGCAUAUAGUGCAAUAAAGGUUCUGAUCAACUACCACUAACUCAAAAAUGAAAAAUGGCAGGUGGUGGGAACCCUGAUUGCAGCAUUUGUGUACCUUGGAACAGCUUGGUGGCUCAUGGAGACAAUCCCCAACAUCUGCAACACCGAGCUCCUCCAAUCUGACAGCCCAUGGACAUGCCCUGGCGACCAUGUGUUCUACGAUGCCUCGGUCAUAUGGGGCCUCAUAAGCCCCCGCAGGAUCUUUGGCGACCUAGGCAGCUACUCAGCCGUCAACUGGUUCUUCCUUGCAGGGGCCAUCGCCCCUCUCCUUGUCUGGUUCGCCCACAAAGCCUUCCCUGGUCAGGAGUGGAUACAAUUGAUCAACAUGCCCGUGAUGAUUGGUGCUACAGGCCAGAUGCCCCCAGCUACCGCUGUCAACUAUACUACCUGGAUAUUAGUGGGCUUCCUUUCAGGCUAUGUUGUUUAUAAAUACCGGCGAGAUUGGUGGCAACGACAUAAUUAUGUACUUUCUGGCGCUUUAGAUGCGGGGUUGGCGUUCAUGGCAGUGUUGCUUUAUCUUUGCUUGGGUUUGGAGAAUAUUAGUCUCAAAUGGUGGGGCAAUGACUUGGAUGGGUGUCCUCUGGCUUCUUGCCCCACCGAAAAGGGCAUUGUUGUAGAGGGAUGUCCCCUUUCGUGGUGAUGCUGAACUGCCAUGCGCCUGAAGAGUACUAGCAGAAUAGAGUAAUCAUUUGUUUGUAGAAAUGCAGAACAGAAUGAAAGUAUGUUAGCAAUUGUUUGAAAUUUCUUAAGAAACGGGAAAUCUAUAUUUGGUUUUCUACCUGGUUUUAAAAUUGGGAGCAAUUUAUUAAUAUAGAGCCCGUAUUAGAUAGUUUUGGAUCUAUUUCAUGAAGUAAUUUGCUAGUCCUAAUAAAACAGGAAUCUAGACAGAUUAAGACAGUCAGCCAGCAACCUAACCAAGUAUAGUGAAACCAAAAUCCAGCACUAAACAAUAAUAGAGUUACAAAUUAUAUUUUCUUUUAAUCUCUUAAGUAUAACAAAGCACCUUCAGACAUAUUCGUAAAAACUUCUCAGCGAUAAUAACUUCCUGCCUUGAUUUCUCCACAAAAGCUAUACCCUGAAGAUAAAACACCUAAAACAAGAACAGUCAAGACUACAGUUCCUGAUUAUUUCCGAAAUCUUCCGCUUUCCUUCUCUUUUUUUUCUUAAUACAUAGAUGUCCACAACAUUUAAAUCAUGAAGCUCUCCUCAUGGUCCAGCUCCACUUAGGUGGUUCAAUGGAGCUUUAGGAGAUGGAAAGAGAGAUCAUCUUUACAAAUGAGAAAGUAAAGAAUGGCACCAAAGGCUAAGCUUCCAAACUUUCCCUCUAGAGAUAAAUUUAAAAGAUUAUGUUUUAGAGAACCUAUAAAAGGCCACUUCUGCCCAAAAUCUUCAAUUCACACACACACACACACACACACACACACACACACACAUAUAUAUCCACUUAAACAAUUGGAAAAAUUUAAAGAUUAUCUUGCCUACAUUAUUUUUACAAAUGCUACAUGAUUGCUGCAUUAUUUUAUUACAUCCUCAGAAGUAACUGUUACUGAUGCUAAUAAAUAAGGCUUUACAAAUCAAUUCUAUAUUAUUAUUAAUAUGUUACAUCAUUGAGAGAAUCCAGUGAAAUGAUCCUCAGCACUUUAGAAUCUCAAGGUUUCACUACUAGAGGACAGAAAACAUAUGAAUACACAAUAUUUCAAGAUGCUGAGCUCGAAAUCACCUGGUCAAUUGAUUCUCAUGAAGUAGGUAGGCAGCAGUUCAUCUGUGUUUAAAGAAGUGGUGAGUCCGAUGAAGUUAGCUGGGACCUAAAAUCAGCACGCAUGUGUUCAAUGUAAUUGCUGGUAUAUCCAUUCUCGUCUUCAUCACAAUCAAAAGUCGUAAAAUUAAUUUGUGGGAACUUGAUGCUAUCUCAUUGGCACAAUCUUCGGCCGCUUUCCACAUGUAAUAGAAAAAAAAAAAAGGAAAACUCUCAAAUUGCAGUAGCUCUAUACCUUUUGCACCAACAAAUAGUCAGAAUGAGAAUAAGAAGCUUCAGCUCUACAUAUAAUGUGCCAAGCCGCCAAAAGAAUAUGAAGCGCCAGUUCCAAAAAAUUGUUUGUAUAGUUACAUCUGUAAUACGGCAUCAAGACGUUCAUUCCAAGCAUCAUUUCCAGUGACCGACUUCCUAAUAAAAACCUCCCAACAAUCCCCAUCGAAGAAACUCCCUCUACUCGAAGCCGCAGCUUGAACAAGUUUAUCAACCUCCUCUUCGUUGCCCGAUUUAUAGAUUCCAUCAACUAACACUUCAUAAGUGAACUUAUUUGGCGCACACGCGCUAUCCAACAUCUCCUCCAAGAUCCGAACCCCUUCUUUCGCCUUCCCCACCUUACAGAACCCUUUGAUCAGCACAUUAUACGUGAAGGCGUUCGGCGCGCACUUCCUCUCCACCAUAUCGUCCCACAGCCUCCCCGCCUCUUGCAACUCCCCGUUCUCACACAUACCCGAUAUGAGCGUGUUGUACGUCAACAGACUCGGAAUAAACCCCCUCUCAAAUUCAUCGAACAGCUUCCGAGCGUCCCAAACCUUGCCCUUCUUGCAAAGCCAGUAAAUUAGCGUGCUCGUGACGGAGUUAUCGGGCAUGACAUUCUUCUUUAAAAGCUUCUUCCAAAUCUCGCACGCAUUCUCCGGCUUUCCGUCCUCGCACAACGCGUCAAUCACCUUACAACAAAGCGGCGAGCCAGGUACAUAAUUCGCGUCCAGCAUGUCUCUCAUCAAAUUGAGGGCUUCCCCGGAUUUCCGCUCUUUACAGAAGGCUUCGAUCACGACCGAGUAGGUGACGUCGUUCGGCCGGACUCCGGAAUCCUCCAUCUCGUCCAUGGUCCGGACCGCGUCCUGCAGGCGGCCGCGGUGGCAGUAGCCGUCGAUGAGGAUGGUGUAGGCGGUGACGUCGGGGGCGCAGCCUUGGCGGACGAUGUCGUCGACGAGAGCGCGCGCGGCGGCGAGGUCGCCGCGGGAGCAGUGGUAGGAGAGGACGGUGGUGUAGGAGACGACGUUGGGGGAGGAGUUGCGGGAGGAGGCGUCGGCGGCGGGGGCGGAGCGGGAGGUCGCCGAGCGAGAGGAGGCUUGGAGGGCGAUGUUGCAGGUGCAGACGUUGGGGCGGAUGGCGAAGCGGGGGAGCGGCGAGAAGAGGCGGCGCGAGGCGGGGCGCGCGGCUGACGGGAGGAGGGCGUUGAGGAGGCCGUUGAGGGAGCGGGCGGAGGGGCGGGCGCGCCGAAGGAGGGGAGGGAGAGAAGAGGCGAGGGCGCGGCGGGCGGGAGGCGCCGGCGAGGGCGCGAUGAGGUGGACGAAGCGUCCUCGCCGCAGCGGAGAGGGUUAGGGUUGGAGGGGGAGGGGAGGGAGGUGGGCGGCGGAGGAGGAGAGAGGAGGGGGGAGUAGGCGGGGGAGGGAGGAGGGGGACUGGGCGAGGCGGAGGAGGAGGGAGUGGUAGACCGGGUAGGUGGGGACGAAGCCCGGGACGAAGCGGAGGGCGUGGUUGAAGGCGCGGAGGGCGGAGAGGGGGUCGGGCUGGCGGCGGAUGAGGAGGGCGAGGCGGCGAGGGGAGAGAGGGGAGGGCGGCCAGGGCUGGACGGGAGGGGUGACGGUGUAGGAGGCCAGCAGCUCGGAGGAGGACCGGACGGACGCCAGGUGGGAGAGGUCCACGAUGGGCUUCGACAGGUGGGAGAGCUCCACCACCGUCGACAGCAGCCGGCGGAGGCCCAGGCGGGGGACGAGGGAUGUCAUCACGACCGCGGUGGGAUGGCGGACAGGUCGACUUCCGUUCCACGACUGAAGACGUUUUGGUUUGGGCUUGGUUCUCCGCCGUCAGCAUCGCUGCUCUGAUUUUACGUUCGAGCAAUACCACCCUUCAAGUCCAAAAUUUGGGCUAAAUUAUAAAAAAAAAAAUCUCUUUAAAUACGAAUUUUUGUUAUAAAUAAUCCUAUCGUUUUUUAUAAUUGUACAAAUAAUUUUUGUAAAAAAAUAAUUAUAAAAAUAGACCUCUAAAUACGGUAAAUGAUUCGCCACAUUCAUAACUCCUCAUUAGAAAUAGAAAAAGAAUAAAAAUGGUAAACCAUUCACCGCUUUUACCAUCUUAGAAAUAUAAAAAGAAGUAAGAAAACGAAAGAAAGCGGUGAAUGAUUCACCGCUUUUAUAGGAUCAUAUUUAUAAAUAAAAAUUUAACAGCUCUAUUUUUAGAAUAAAAUUUUAGGAGAAGACUAUUGGAUUAAAAAACUCUUUAAAUACUCAUAUUUUUAUUUUUUUCUAAUUUUUAAAAUUUUAUAUUUUACUCCAAUUCAAUUUUAUCUGAUAGCGUUAGAUAGAUCUCAAUACUAAACUAAACCUAAGAAAUAAUAAAAGAUACAAGCAUAUAAGGCUCGUUUUGACGUCAAAAUACAGUUUUAUGUUAUAAAAAUUAAUAUUUUAGCAUUUAAUUUUAUAACAUAAAUAUACAAUUAUGAUUUAUUUUUAUCCAAAAGUACAACUUUUCCCAUCAAGAAGACUCUUCUACAUUGGUCGCAUGCAUUUUUUUUUAUUUAUUGGCCAAUUGACUAAUGUUAAUGUUAUUACUUUAAAAUUGAUAAAAUAUAAAUCUUGGUGGCUAAUUAAAAAAAUAUGAAAGUUUGAAUGGUGAAUAUAAAAUUUUAAAAGUUUAGAUGGUUAUCUGUAAACGGACAAAAGUUCAGAGGAUUGUGGACCUCUGGUGCAUAUAACUCUUGGAAAAAUUGAAAUAAAUCAUUUUGAAUUUUGAAUUCUUUUAUGCAAAGAAAGAGGAAUUGUAUUGAAUUUCAUUUUAUAAUUUUUUUUUAUUACGUAUUCUUAAUCGUAUUGUAUCAUAAUUUUGUUUAUUUAUUAAUAAGAAUUUACAGACUUAUAUGAUUAUGAAUUGAGAAAUCUUAAAC
Molecule: long non-coding RNA, 25668 nt
Filed under: Ananas comosus (pineapple)
Lineage: Eukaryota; Viridiplantae; Streptophyta; Magnoliopsida; Poales; Bromeliaceae
Description: long non-coding RNA (ACOM_LNC031696)
Source: RNAcentral